UCAAAACCUAACACCCAGAUGAAAGGAUGA
This 30-nucleotide non-coding RNA is filed under the name Rattus norvegicus (Norway rat). Lineage: Eukaryota; Metazoa; Chordata; Mammalia; Rodentia; Muridae. The record is from RNAcentral.